CAAAAACUUCAAUAAAUUUCCAUUUUUCUUUUCAUGAAAUAAUUAUUUUUAAUGUUAUGUAUUAAUCAUUGCUGCCAUAAUUUGUAUUUACAGUGCUUUGAGUGAGGACAAAGUGGUUUGAUGACUGGCUGCCAAAAUGAUUUAAUUCAAAGUAAUUGCUUGCUGAGGUUAAAAAAGUACGGAAUUUAUCAAGCGUUAUAUGCUCUAAUGCAAGGUUCUUGGUAAUAAUAGCUACUUGGCAUUAGCUGUAAUUGAUAUGACAGAUACUUCUGGUAUUUCCUAACUUUCCAUGAGGAAAUUAUAUGCAUAUUUAUAACUCCAAUUUUCUUCAACACACAAAUUGCAUCAUUUAUAAAUAUAACUGAGAAUUUCUUGCAGUAACAUGUGAAGGACAAUGCCAGUUCUCCAGACCCUAAAUAACAGAUCCAUUUACUACUGUGAAUACUUCAUCUGUAGCAUAACAGUCUGUGCCUGACUGCAUAUGAGGAUAUAUCAGUCUAAUUACCAAAGUUACUGAGAAUUUAGAGCUCCCACCUAACUAUGCAAUAAGAGUGGGCCUCUGCAAUCAGCCUCACGGUUGAUAUACAUAUUAUUAGGUACAUACGAUGCAAUUCAUGUAGGAAUAAUGUACAGACGUAAGGUUCAGAAGCAGGUCAUUUUCACACAGUAAAGUUCCUUAAACCACUUUCAGAUAAUAGGCACAUCUGAUGCAAUGUGGUCAGUCUGAUGGAGUGACAAUUUAUCCAACAACAGAAGUUUCAUUUUAAAUAGGCUCAUGAAAAUUUUUUUCUGUUAUAGCUGCACCAGCAUUGUCUGUGUUUUAUUGUUUGAGACUCAUAUUCAGAAAAUCUAAAUCUUAGAUUGAACCUUCACUAGUUAAUUCACUCAUUACCAAUUGUAAUUUUCUUAUUCACUGCAGUUACUAUAGAAGCCACAAGGUUUAAUGUGAUUUCUGAAAAAGUUUUAAAAAAUAGUAAGUAAUGGUUGUUCAGCCUGACUCUCACUGUUCCAAAGCUCCUCCACCACCACCAGAUGGAAAGUUCAACAGAAGUAAAAAAAGAACAGACUGAUGAGGCACUUUACAUUUACUUGGCCAGCUAUGUCAUCUUCUCCACCUAGGGCACGGUUACUUGACUGCUCCCCCUCGAAGUCCCAAGUGCCAUCAUCUGCUAAACAAAGGG
Gallus gallus (chicken) is the source of this 1181-nucleotide long non-coding RNA. The record is from Ensembl. Lineage: Eukaryota; Metazoa; Chordata; Aves; Galliformes; Phasianidae.